This is an RNA transcript of Macadamia integrifolia, 1323 nucleotides long. RefSeq lists it as uncharacterized. The record is from RefSeq and is a predicted model, not a curated record. The transcript is spliced from 4 exons. NCBI's taxonomy places the organism in Eukaryota, Viridiplantae, Streptophyta, Magnoliopsida, Proteales, Proteaceae.
CCCAUCCUCGCUCGCGGGCUCUCUGCCUCUCUCGCUCGCUGUCGGAUAAAGGAGAAAAAGAGAAUGGGUAGAUCGGUCCUCUCCCAUGUUAUAAGCCUCUCCAUCACUUCUCCUCGCUUCCUCUCUAAAAUGCAGGUCUAGUGGUCGACUGCAGAGAAACUACUUGGGAAGAUUGGGCCGAAUACAUCGCCAUCCAAUCCCAGAUGGUUACUUUGAUAGUUCUCGAUGCUACUGCACUGUUGUUUCUGUUUCCCAAUCCGACGCAUCGGAUAUACCUUCGACCUCUGUGAUGUUCACUAUGAGGAAAUCAUGUCCGUUUCAGCUUAUUUGGAUAGAGUUUUGGCAGUGGGAGCCACGAAAGCUGCCGUAAUAGCAGAUGCUACUCUCAACAAUAUCUACCAAGAGAUCAGAUUCCACAGAAAGAAUUUUUGUGAGGUUAUUAUCGGUGAACCAGGUUACGAUCGGUGAUCCGUCGUCCUUGCAACACCACUAUAUCUGGGAUUGCAGUGACUUAAUCAGGUUUGAGGUGUGUUUCUUGUUUCAUUUGGUAUGCCCAGGAGGUGAACCUUGUGGUAGACCUUCAACAUUCUUUUAGUGACAAUUUCUACAUUAUUUCUGUCUGGGUAUGAAGAUCAACUGAUGAUCAUAUACAUUGAAGAAAUAAAUGGGUAGGGGCAACAGAAAAUAGCAGAAGUUGGAUCUGAAUUUUGAUCUGUUCAUUGAUCUGAUCAGGACCCUACUUUUAUUGGCUACCUGCCUGAAGUCAGAUAUACUUGGAAUGGUUUAGAGAGAAUCUCUUAACCAAGGGUUAAUUCGGGUGGUUGGAUGGGACUCAGAAAGAGUGUAUAUGACCUUCCACAAUAGGGAUGGUUAGGUAAUGAUGAGAUUGUGUGGUGGAGUCACUAUUCCAGGAGUCAAAUCACAGUGUGUCAAACACAGGAGUGAAGGAAAACUUUUUCCUUCAUUUAUAUGAUUAAUCUAGAUGAAAGGUUUUCCUGAGGAAUCUAACUCUCUAUUUGCACAGUAUGUUCUGUUCUAUCUAUCUUUGGGUAAAAGCUCCUCACCACCCCCAGCUGAAGGGAGUAAGAAAUGGUGUUAGAAAUGUCUUUUUAUUAUUUCUCAACUAAGUGGAGGCUCAUUUUGCAGAAAAUAUUGGGAAAAAUAAGUUUGUUUUAGAAGGGUAUGUAACAGAAAUCCUUAGAAACUAUGAAUUGCAGAAUCAUGUUAUGCAUUUCAAUUAAUUUCUUAAAGUAGAACCCUAAUAUGAUUCUUAUGGAAGUAAGAAAAUGUAAUAUUAGCCUAUUGUAGAACAACAAACAACAA